Molecule: ribosomal RNA, 212 nt
Filed under: uncultured bacterium
Lineage: Bacteria
Description: partial 16S ribosomal RNA
Rfam family: Bacterial small subunit ribosomal RNA
Source: RNAcentral
UACGGAGGGUGCAAGCGUUAUCCGGAUUCACUGGGUUUAAAGGGUGCGUAGGCGGCUUGAUAAGUCAUUGGUGAAAGCUCGCGGCUCAACCGCGAAACUGCCAAUGAAACUGCCAAGCUUGAAUCUGGUUGAAGUGGGCGGAAUACAACAUGUAGCGGUGGAAAUGCUUAGAUAUGUUGUAGAACACCGAUUGCGAAGGCAGCUCACUAAGC